This 512-nucleotide ribosomal RNA is filed under the name uncultured bacterium. RNAcentral describes it as "bacterial SSU rRNA". It matches the Rfam family "Bacterial small subunit ribosomal RNA", at positions 8 to 507 of the family's 1533-position model. The record is from RNAcentral.
AGAGUUUGAUCCUGGCUCAGAGUGAACGCUGGCGGCAGGCCUAAUACAUGCAAGUCGAACGGCAGCACAGCAGAGCUUGCUCUGGUGGGUGGCGAGUGGCGGACGGGUGAGGAAUACGUGGGAAUCUGCCCAGUCGUGGGGGAUAACGUAGGGAAACUUACGCUAAUACCGCAUGCGCCCUUCGGGGGAAAGCCGGGGACCUUCGGGCCUGGCGCGAUUGGAUGAGCCCACGUCGGAUUAGCUAGUUGGCGGGGUAAAGGCCCACCAAGGCGACGAUCCGUAGCUGGUCUGAGAGGAUGAUCAGCCACACUGGAACUGAGACACGGUCCAGACUCCUACGGGAGGCAGCAGUAGGGAAGUAUUGGACAAUGGGCGCAAGCCUGAUCCAGCCAUGCCGCGUGAGUGAAGAAGGCCCUCGGGUUGUAAAGCUCUUUUGUCCGGAAAGAAAAGCGCCGGGUUAAUACCCUGGUGUCCUGACGGUACCGGAAGAAUAAGCACCGGCUAACUUCGUG